RNAcentral lists this unclassified non-coding RNA (200 nucleotides) under Oidiodendron sp. RNAcentral describes it as "partial internal transcribed spacer 2". Lineage: Eukaryota; Fungi; Ascomycota; Leotiomycetes; Myxotrichaceae. The record is from RNAcentral.
UUAAGUUCAGCGGGUAUCCCUACCUGAUCCGAGGUCAACCAGAGAGUGGGGGGGUUCUGGCGGGCGACCGCCGGGGCCGAGAGCGAGAGCUGUACUGCGCUUCGGGCCAGGCGGCGCCGCCACUGUCUUUCGGGCCAGCCGCGCCGGCUGCGCCCAACACCAAGCCGGGCUUGAGGGUUGAAAUGACGCUCGAACAGGCA